Molecule: long non-coding RNA, 4158 nt
Organism: Gasterosteus aculeatus aculeatus (three-spined stickleback)
Lineage: Eukaryota; Metazoa; Chordata; Actinopteri; Perciformes; Gasterosteidae
Source: Ensembl
GGUGGGGGUUUUGGUCGUGACAGGGGUUGGAAGUAGAAGCGGGGUCUGUGUUAUACAAUAAUUGAAUAAAUUGAGUAUUGAGUUCAAUUAAAUCACAUAAAUUACAAUUCUGCGCGUUCGUAAUUGCUGUGAACCGCGGUCGCUAGCCCAAGGCUGCGGCUGGUGGAGGAGGGGCACUGGCAGGGAGGCGCGGCCCCUGGGAGGAAUUAUCCUGCAAUUUUUUGUUUCUUUUAUAGACAUCAAAAGGCAAGGAGACAGCCUGACAGACAUGUAUUAAAGUGUAAAUGAGGGUUAAAAGGAAUCGCAGCCCUUCGGUUGUUUGGUGCAUUUACACAGAAACAAUAAUGUUGCUUAAUAGAAAACAUUACUCCUGCAGCUGCUUCCUAUUGAACUUUGGUAAAAGAAAAAAUAAUUUUUAGAAGUUGUGACCUGAUCCUUGGAAACAAAGAGGGAAGGAUUUCUCGAUGUCACAACGCACAGAUUUAAUUAUAUUAUAUAAGAAAUCCAUCAUGAAACUAAUCGACUGACUGGAAGACACGUAUGUGGACACACGGGACGUGACGUCAGUAUGUCCUCCUGGAAGGUGGAGGUGAUCUUUAAUAUAUGAUUAAUCUGUCAUCAGGAUAGGACAUUGUUGUGAUUGUAUGUGAUCAAUGCUGCAAAGUGUCUUUUGAUUGACAAAGCAGCUUAAAGUUUACACGUGUGUCCACUGAGGUGUGUGUGUGUCUGUGUGUGUGUGUGUGUGUCUUUGGGGCAUCAGAUAACUGUGUCCCUCCCUCCUACAGCGGAGAUGGUCAGAUUUAAUCAGAUAAACUCUCGAUGCAACAGCUGUCACCCAGACCCAGAAUCUCUGUGCCUCCUCCCCCUCUCUCCCCUCCUCCCUCCUCCAUUCCAUCUCCACUUAAUGCCUCUCUCAGCCUCUAUAUCUCUGCUAUAUCUCCGGACCUCUCUCAGUAUGUGUGUGCGAGUGUACUUAGGACACGCGUGUGUACCCUCAGCAUGCACGUGGCCGAACACACGUACACACACACACACGCACGGAUAAGUACUCUCCAUUAUCCCUGAUUCAGCAGAUGAGUAUCUGGUUUGAUACAGUUUUCCUCUUUGCGAACAGAAACAAACACACUGAAGCCACAGCACGCGUGUGCUGUUGGUUGUUGUAGCAGGUGAUCUGUUGAGAGAUUGCAUUCCUGUGAGCAGGGAGCGUCGGCAUGCAGUGUUCACAAACACGUAACGUUGGGUUCUGUCUUUUGUCUUGGCACAGCGUCACUGGGUCAGCUUGUCUCCCCGUUCUCCCAGUGAGCUUUACUCAUCUCUGAGGGUGGGCUACAGUGGCAUUAAGUGGUCUACUGUGUGGCUGUUAUGAGGGGGAGAGGCUUUUGUUUCUGUGACAACAGAAAGAAAAUCUCAGCAGAAUCUCAGCACCUCCACUUUGAUGCAUGUCGGGUCCAUGGUGCGAUUACGAUUACCAUGUGUUUUGCACCCUUGCGGGAUGCUCACAGCUUCUGGCCCUCACCUCACUCGGGCCUCGCCAGCAUCACCGCCGCUGGGAGCGACUCUGUCACUCUGAACCGCUGCCAAGUGAACAGGAGUAUCUUGCCAGGAACCAUUUCUUUCUUGACUGCAUCCAUUAAAAACUGUAUUUGAGGAUUGACGGCUAUUGUUGUUGUUGUUGUUGUGUGUGGCCUCGGGGUCUGCUGUAACAUUGUCUGCUGACGAAGUGGACCUUGAAUGUAGAAUCUUUACCACAUGCAGGUUUUCCCAAGGCCAGCGAUCCUCGGCCAUGUUGAAAUAUCCAGUAACGCUGGCGUUGAGGCAUUUUAAUGUACUGCGGGUGAAAGAAUAGCUGGUACCUCAGUCCAACGUUUAUUCAAAUGAAACGUUGAGCACACAUACAGAGGCUUAUACAGACUGUGGGCAUCUCUCUACUUCCAGUGGUUGUAGUAACAUGUGAUUUAAUGACUAGUUUUCAUAGUAAACUACCAACAUUGUUUCCAUUUCAUUUCUGCUUUUGCAUUAAUGCAACUUCCUGGAUUGACUUUGAAAGGACAUUUAACGUGCACAUCAACACACACACACGUUGUUUUUAAAGCAUGCAUUUUAAAGCAUGCAUGCUGACAUUCACAUAUGGUAAUUAACGUUUUUAUCUCUUCUAUCUUCACAUACACACUAAUCCUCAAAGUGCCUAUCCAGCAAUAGUGAUUUGGAAGGAGCAUCAGGGAGUCGAGGGUUGUGAGUGUGUACUGAACCUCCAUGGUGCUGAAAGCGCUCUACGCAUGUGUGUGUGUGUGCUCAAAGAAAGGGGACUUCUGAAACCUGAGACUGUGUGAAAAUGCGUUGGUUUAAAGAUCUGAAUUCGGGGGCGAGGGGGGAGAAAAAGAGAAAAGGGAGUUGCGCAAGAAAGCAAAACUAACUUGUUAUCCUGGUAGCGGAUAGAACUCACAGCACAUUGGUUCAGGACGAUGCUCAUUGGCCUGAGUGACACAAAGCAAACAUCGGGGAAGGAACAGCGGCGGGCGACCUUCUCCCAGCCGGGUGGAGACGAGGCCGAUCUGUUGUCAAAUAUCGGGAAUUAUUUAGAACGGAGGAAAAAGGCGAAUCCUCAAUUGAAAAGCUGAAACAAACCACUGAAAUGUUAAAUUAUUAUCGAGAUAGUCAUUUUCUCACAGCGGACAUCUCCACCAGAUUCAGCACUGAAUCAAUAACACACAUACAAUUGUGACCUAUUUCCUCUUCCUGUCUUAUGGCGAAACCCUCCUCUAUAUUGGCCUCUAUCACAGCUUGGCUCGUUUAAUUAGAUAUGUAACCAGCACAUCAUUUCCUCUUCAGGAUUCGGGCGCGGGGAUGUGAUUACACCUGCCACAUUUCAUACACAUCCAUUUCCACAGAGGUCAGAGCAGGACUUCAGUGUGGAUCCAAGUGGGAGCAAAUCUGCAUCCGCUCACCCCGAGCAAUGAGUCACGCACCUGUGUGCUGCACAUCAACCUAGUUUCUGCAACGUUUCACAGGCUGACCCCUGGAUACAUGCAUGUGACCCGUAUGGACAGAUAGGAACAGUAAUUAUUUUAGCGAUCAGUGGACGUGAAUGAUUUAAGAAAAAGUCAAAUGUUCACGAUGGUACCUUCAUCAUUUUAUUUUGAAAAUACAUCAUUGAAUCGGUGGCGGUAUGUCUCUCCGUCAUCGACGCGUUUCUUUGGGGGGGGUUUGGUCAGAGAAAGCUGCCGUAUAUAUAGAUUUUUGCACGCACCAAACUGCAAACUUUUGUUGUUGGCCGCAAACACUGAGCCAACCUCAAAGCCCAGGCGACGACACGCGUCUAAACACGAUUAUCAAACGCUUCGCACCUCCUCACGUUGCCUCAAAUCCCCUUCCAACGCACCAAACACGGCUGAUGCCAAACGUGCACUCUGCGUGAGGACACAACAGACUUCAAUCAAAACAAAAAAUACCCAAAGCUCAGACAUGAUAAGACAAGGGGAGAGACUAUAUAGAUGUGUUUGAACUAGAGAUAAAUGUCACCGGUUCUCCUCCAUGUUGUCAGGAGACGGAACGUCUGCAUGCGGACCCCAAUCACCCGUCUAAAAGGUUCUUACGGUGAAACAAUAAUCUUUGGAUCCUCCCCAAACUCCUGCUGAUGCACUUAUGAUAAGUGGCUGUGUGGCGUAAUGGGCCUGAAAUGUAAAUGCGCUGGAAUGCUUUGUGAUUUGGAGACACCGAGAAGAAUACCAGAUGAGACGUUCCCUCUGUUCUGCUGAGCUCUCUCACUCUAAUGCACAACUCCAGACCUCGGCAUGUUCCCCCGAUUCAGUGAUUAUGUUAAAAUGAUGAUUGUAGUCGCUGUUCGUAGAUCUUAAUGGGGUUCAUUUCCUCCGUAAAGAUCACUGGCAUUGGCUUCAAUUGGGCUGUCAGCUGAUUGAUUGAUGUAUGUAAAUUAUUUACUGCAAUAGAUGAAAUAAGUCACCAAUUAUGGAAGUUUGGCUUUUAGCCAGAGAAAAAAACAAAUCACAGGUGGGACUUACGGCGCACGAGCUGUGGUGAAAAACCACUACCGCACAUCUACAGCUGAAGCAAUGCACGGCUGAAUAAUGUCGUGUCUGAGGGCCACGCCGCUCUAGUCUGACGACACCAGACACUCAGAGGGCGUAACAAACCUACUCC